GCAAGUCGAGCGAGAAAGGCCUUCGGGCUGAGUACAGCGGCGGACGGGUGAGUAACGCGUAGGAAUCUACCUGGUAGUGGGGGACAACUUGUGGAAACGCAAGCUAAUACCGCAUACGCCCUAAGGGGGAAAGCGGGGGACCUUCGGGCCUCGCGCUAUCGGAUGAGCCUGCGUAAGAUUAGCUAGUUGGUGGGGUAAAGGCCCACCAAGGCGACGAUCUUUAGCUGGUCUGAGAGGAUGAUC
This 243-nucleotide ribosomal RNA is filed under the name uncultured bacterium. RNAcentral describes it as "partial 16S ribosomal RNA". It matches the Rfam family "Bacterial small subunit ribosomal RNA", at positions 57 to 305 of the family's 1533-position model. The record is from RNAcentral.